CACAUUUCGACGUAGGAACUAGUAAUAACUGCUAUGUAAAAUAGUAAACUGGUUAAAAUCCUUGAAACCCGAAAAACGUGAACGUUGGAGUACUCAAAAUAGUUGGAUCCUAACAUACUCGAUUGAGCUAGUACAGCACCAUUCGAAAUCUUGUACUGCGACUGAAGUGAAUGAAGGCGAACGAAAUACAUAAUGCCGCAAUGUUUUCGAAACGAAUGCAAAAACGUAGGAAUCGAGUGAUUCGAUUCGAGAUGCACAAUGCCACCCCUGGUCGACAGCAAUCUUUGUAGGUGCGGAGCCGGUUACGAUGACAUCGAUCACGUAGUUUGGUAUUGCACGGAAAAUGGCGCCUCAAGAGAGCAACUAUUGGAUACCCUUGUGGCCCGAGUUUUUUUUCUUGUCUGUCUCAUUGUUCCGUGUACCAUGAAGCUCUGGCCAUCCGGAAGAUGCUCCCUGAAGAACCAAAACCCGAGCACGACGCUACGCCAAACCAGACAUGACGUCAAAUACCCGGAUGAGCAGCUGAAAUACCUCAAAACUAAAUCCCAACUCCGUCCAUCACGAAAUUACGCAAUCUCACCUUGAGUCGC
Molecule: long non-coding RNA, 590 nt
Organism: Armigeres subalbatus
Lineage: Eukaryota; Metazoa; Arthropoda; Insecta; Diptera; Culicidae
Exons: 4
Source: RefSeq, a predicted model, not a curated record